This 2493-nucleotide long non-coding RNA is filed under the name Aotus nancymaae (Ma's night monkey). RNAcentral's name for it is "lncRNA (ENSANAG00000039221.1)". The record is from RNAcentral. Lineage: Eukaryota; Metazoa; Chordata; Mammalia; Primates; Aotidae.
GUCCAGGCCUUCAGGCUGCAGGCUCUCAGGCCAACUUCCACCCUGGGCCUCUCCCCACCAUACCCUGCUCUUGGGACCCAGGACAACCCUGCAGGGGCAGUGACAGGGGCAGCCCGCGAUCUGUUGCAGGACACAUGCUCUCCCCACCUCCCCCUUGCUGUGGCCCAGGGCCAGACUGGGAGCAGGGCCAAUUUCCGGUUCUCCAUUUUGUGGAUUUUCGAGGACACACUUGUUGAAGCCUGGCGGCAGCGUUCUCCUGAAUACAGCGCCUGGAGGCUGAGUCUCUUGUCCACCCUGUGUCAUCUGCACCUGGCUCCUGCCAGGUGCCACAUCGAUCUUCACAACCACCCUGGGCUGCUGGGGUCACCGUCCCUGCUUCCCCACCAAGAGAAGUCACGGAGACCCCAUCUCCCGCCAGACAGCGAGCUCACCCGCCAGACCAGAGCCUGCUCUCUCCCUAGCACCCGGCUGGACGUGGCGCCCGGGCCAGGCACCGUGUGUGUCCGUGGAGGAGAGCUCGCCUCUGGGACAGCCUCAUGGAGGGAAGGAGCCCGGGCGGGGUGCUCUCUGAACCCUGUGGCUGUUAGCAGAGCACCCUUAAACCCUCACCACCCACCUGAGCCUGUUUGAGGAGAGCAAGAUCUUAAGGAUGCUUUUCAGCUUCCUCAGGAGACCGGGGGAGACCAAGGAAGCGGGGGCCCUAGGUGCCCCUCCUGGCUCCCUGCAGAUGAGAUCCCCACCCUGGCCCUGCAGGCCUGCUGAGAAGGGGCUGGAGGUGUCAGGGGCAGGAUUCGCACAGGAAAGGAAAUGGCAACGGGAUUCUGCCCCUGCUCCCCACCAGCGCAGGAUGGAGGAGGCCUUGGUGUCCCUGCAACAGCUCUAGCAUUCCAGGCAGGGGCUUCCUUGCAGCCGGCCAGCAGGUGACCUCGCUGUGUCCUCCGGUUGGAGGGUGGCAGCCGCUACUCCACCUUCCCACCUGCCUGGCUGAGCCUUGGCCUGUGUCCCCCCGGAGCUUUCAGCUGCCCCUUCCCUGCACACGAUGGCCCGCCUGGACCAUGGUAAGUGAUUUAGUGCCUUAACAGAAACACCCAGCGGCUCUGGGGGUGGGUUUUCUGGUCACAUAAUGCAACAUGUGCAUUAAUGUAAAUAAAGGCUUUAUCACCAAACCGCCGUGUCCUGCAGGAACUGCAGCCCCUGACGGGUGGGGACGUCAGUGUUUUGUUGGCAGUCAGGAUCACUGGAGAGGUCAGGGUCGCAUCCUCAGAAGCUCAGAUGGGUGGCAGAGACGGCUGUGGGCUGCCGAGUGCAUGCUCUGUGGGCUUCUUGGCCACCUCCCUGCCCGCCCCCCACUCCUGCAGUGGUCCCAGGUCCCUGCGGGCCUGCCCAGAGGUGGCUUCCACAGGUUGGCAGAAGUCAUCUGUGAAUAAACAGCCUGUGGGUACAGGUGACAACACACGGAGAGCUGAGGCCGUGGCUGGGGCACAGGCUUUCCUGUGAAGCUUUUCCCACCCUAUCCGUGAGGCUCCCUGGCAGGACUGACAGUGCUGUCCGAUUCUCCAGCAGCCGCGGGGUCUCUGUGACCCCACCGCUGACACGGGGUCCGUUCUCUCUUUUUUCUGUUACCAGCAGUACAAGGCAUCUCUCCCCAUGCACACUUCCUUAGGGAUCUUUCUUUUUUUUCUUUUUUGUUUUUUUAAAACAGAGUCUCACUCUGUCGCCCAGGCUGGAGUGCGGUGGCACAGUCUCGGCUCACUGCAACCUCCACCGCCCCGGUCCAAGCAAUUCUGCCUCAGCCUCCCGAGUAGCUGGGAUUACAGGCACGCACCACCAUGCCCGGCUAAUUUUUGUGUUUUUAGUAGAGAUGGGGUUUCGCCAUGUUGGCCAGGCUGGUCUCCAUCUCUUCCCAUCCAAGUACUAACCAGGCCCGACCCCGCUUAGCUUCCGAGACCAGACGAGAUCGGGCGCGUUCAGGGUGCUAUGGCCGUAGACGGUCUCCAUCUCUCGACCUGGUGAUCCACCCGCCUCGGCCUCCCAAAGUGCUGGGAUUACAGGUGUGAGUCCCCGUGCCUGGCCGCGAAUCUUUGUUUUUGAUUUUCUUUUUUUUUCAGUUACGGUGUCACUGUGUCACCCAAAGGCAGGAAAUGAACAUGGGUGCAGGCCUGCCAGCGAAACCUCAGGCUCCCCGUUCCAGCUUCGUCAGUUUCCCCCAGAGUCCUUUUCUUUCCUGGCCAGGCCCCACCCGGGGUCCCGCGUGGCGUUUCGUCCUGUGUCUCUUUAGUUUCAUAAAGGUCCGUCAUGGUUAAAGACAUGCUUUGCUUGUCUUUAACGACCUCGACAGCUUGAAGAGGCCUGCUCAGGCUUUCUGUGAAACACCCCCUAAUAUGGGUUUGCCCGUCUUCCCGAAGUCACGCUGAGGGGACAGUGUUUGGGGAAGGACGCUCCACUCGAGGCGCCUCUCUCCUCACCACCCGCAGGGGUCCCAGAGACCCCCAC